Molecule: long non-coding RNA, 733 nt
Organism: Parus major (Great Tit)
Lineage: Eukaryota; Metazoa; Chordata; Aves; Passeriformes; Paridae
Exons: 2
Source: RefSeq, a predicted model, not a curated record
GUCCUGCCUAUCUGAGAAUAUAGAUCUCCGACCACUGACCAAACUCCACUUCAAGCAGUCCCGAGGACUGCUCUUCCCCUUGCCCAUGGACCUGUCUGCUCAGUCCCUGGAUCUCCCAGGAUCAUGCCGAAAAUUUUGCUCUGGAACACAGCACUGGUACUUGCACAAAGUGGAUUUUGCACUUAAUGUCAGCAGCUUCCUUUCUGGGAAGAACCUCGGGAAUAACCAGGAGUGUGGGGAGUGCCUGAAUAACCUGCCGUGUCCCCAAAGUCCUCAAUCAGCAAGCACAGCAAGGGGUGAGUGAGAACCAGACAACACUCAGGAGCUCCAGGUCCACAACAGCUGCACACCCACCACACACCCUCCUGUGUGACACAACCCUCCUGUCCACUGCCAGAGAAACAAAAACACAGCAGAAGGCAAGGUACAGGAACAUGGGAGCCUUCUACAUGAAAGGUUUGUUGCAUGGGAGACAGCAAAGGCAGGAGAUCACACGUCCCUACAGUUCCAGAAAGCCAUGGCCAGGCACUGCAGGGCCAAAUACCUGGCUCCCAGCUAAAAAACAUGGGAAACUGCUAAUCAGCCCAUGAGUAUUCGACCUAGGUCUGCAACACUGGGUAACGCUAUUGUUUGUCCCUUUACAUUCCUGCAAGUCCCAGUGCCAUUGGCCUCUUGUAUCAUAAAGAAAUUAAAAUGUAUUAUGACCAUAAACUACAUCAUUUGAGGAAAUGAA